Long non-coding RNA from Heterocephalus glaber (naked mole-rat), 391 nucleotides. Lineage: Eukaryota; Metazoa; Chordata; Mammalia; Rodentia; Bathyergidae. The record is from Ensembl.
AUCUGAGCUGAAGGGUUGGAAGCUGCAGCGUUAAAACCUGGUCCAAGUAGCCCCCUGUGCCUUAAAUGGGAUGGCAGUGUUGGUUCAGCAUUGGAAGAUCCACCCCCAAAAGUCAUCAUUGAAACAGAGGAAAGGAAAAAGCCAUAUGAUCCUGUCACUAGUUGGAGAAAAAGUAUUGGACUAAAUUCUACAGCUGUUCAUGGUAAAAGCUAUCAGGAGCCUAGAAGCAGAACAGAACCUUCUCAACAGAUUAAAGACAUGUACUCUAUACUUCCAAUGAGAAUGCCUUAUAUGAAUGGACAAGAUACAAUGCUUUCUCCUUAAGAAGCCUUAGGAACUGGUUCAUAGGAGGACUUGGGAAAGGUUUGGAGAUGCCAACAAGAGAAGCCCU